This 450-nucleotide ribosomal RNA is filed under the name uncultured bacterium. Its description in RNAcentral is "partial 16S ribosomal RNA". It matches the Rfam family "Bacterial small subunit ribosomal RNA", at positions 354 to 796 of the family's 1533-position model. The record is from RNAcentral.
GUGGGGAAUAUUCCGCAAUGGACGAAAGUCUGACGGAGCAACGCCGCGUGAGUGAUGAAGGUUUUCGGACUGUAAAGCUCUGUUGUUUAGGACGAAAGUGCCUGUUGCAAAUAGUUACAGGUAUUGACGGUACUGAACGAGGAAGCCACGGCUAACUACGUGCCAGCAGCCGCGGUAAUACGUAGGUGGCAAGCGUUGUCCGGAAUUAUUGGGCGUAAAGAGCAUGUAGGCGGGAAUCUAAGUCUGUUGUGAAAAUGCGGGGCUCAACCCCGUAUGGCGAUGGAAACUGGGUUUCUUGAGUGCAGGAGAGGAAAGGGGAAUUCCCAGUGUAGCGGUGAAAUGCGUAGAUAUUGGGAGGAACACCAGUGGCGAAGGCGCCUUUCUGGACUGUGUCUGACGCUGAGAUGCGAAAGCCAGGGUAGCGAACGGGAUUAGAAACCCGUGUAGUCC